This 299-nucleotide small RNA is filed under the name Arabidopsis thaliana (thale cress). Its description in RNAcentral is "ATSL282840". Lineage: Eukaryota; Viridiplantae; Streptophyta; Magnoliopsida; Brassicales; Brassicaceae. The record is from RNAcentral.
UAGAAGUUUCUAUUGCUUUUCUCUCCCACUUUUUCCUCUUCCUUUUUCUGACAUUCCUUUGUCAGUAUUUAUAGUACUGAAAGGACAGUCUAUCGUUCAGGUUUCUUCUCGAUGUGGGACUUUCUCUUGACCAACAGCUUCCUUGAGGCGGGCCUCGUCUGAUGCUGAGCUCUUUUUCUUUUAACGGGCCGGUCUUCCUUCCUUCCUUCUUUUUUACUAAUUUUAAUGUGUUGGGCUUUUAAACGUGUUGGUGGGGCGAAGCCCAUGUCCAACAUUCACUUUUACAGAGCGUCUUAGCU